Molecule: ribosomal RNA, 518 nt
Filed under: uncultured Lachnospiraceae bacterium
Lineage: Bacteria; Bacillati; Bacillota; Clostridia; Lachnospirales; Lachnospiraceae
Description: partial 16S ribosomal RNA
Source: RNAcentral
CACGUAGUUAGCCGGGGCUUCUUAGUCAGGUACCGUCAUUUUCUUCCCUGCUGAUAGAAGUUUACAUACCGAAAUACUUCAUCCUUCACGCGGCGUCGCUGCAUCAGGGUUUCCCCCAUUGUGCAAUAUUCCCCACUGCUGCCUCCCGUAGGAGUUUGGGCCGUGUCUCAGUCCCAAUGUGGCCGGUCACCCUCCCAGGUCGGCUACUGAUCGUCGCCUUGGUGAGCCUUUACCUCACCAACCAGCUAAUCAGACGCGGGUCCAUCCCAUACCACCGGAGUUUUUACCCCUGCACCAUGCGGCGCUGUGGUCUUAUGCGGUAUUAGCAGACAUUUCUAUCUGUUAUCCCCCUGUAUGGGGCAGGUUACCCACGCGUUACUCACCCGUCCGCCACUCAGUCACAGUACUAAUCCAAACCCGAAGGAAUACAAAAGUUAAAGUGUACUUCGUUCGACCUUAGCCAUGGUAGUUAAGCACGGCCGCCAAGCCGUUCAUCCUGACGCCAGGAUCAAAACUCU